AUUGAACGCUGGCGGCAGGCCUAACACAUGCAAGUCGAACGGUAACAUUUCUAGCUUGCUAGAAGAUGACGAGUGGCGGACGGGUGAGUAAUGCUUGGGAACUUGCCUUUGCGAGGGGGAUAACAGUUGGAAACGACUGCUAAUACCGCAUAAUGUCUACGGACCAAACGGGGCUUCGGCUCCGGCGCAAAGAGAGGCCCAAGUGAGAUUAGCUAGUUGGUAAGGUAACGGCUUACCAAGGCGACGAUCUCUAGCUGUUCUGAGAGGAAGAUCAGCCACACUGGGACUGAGACACGGCCCAGACUCCUACGGGAGGCAGCAGUGGGGAAUAUUGCACAAUGGGGGAAACCCUGAUGCAGCCAUGCCGCGUGUGUGAAGAAGGCCUUCGGGUUGUAAAGCACUUUCAGUUGUGAGGAAAAGUUAGUAGUUAAUACCUGCUAGCCGUGACGUUAACAACAGAAGAAGCACCGGCUAACUCCGUGCCAGCAGCCGCGGUAAUACGGAGGGUGCGAGCGUUAAUCGGAAUUACUGGGCGUAAAGCGCACGCAGGCGGUUUGUUAAGCUAGAUGUGAAAGCCCCGGGCUCAACCUGGGAUGGUCAUUUAGAACUGGCAGACUAGAGUCUUGGAGAGGGGAGUGGAAUUCCAGGUGUAGCGGUGAAAUGCGUAGAUAUCUGGAGGAACAUCAGUGGCGAAGGCGACUCCCUGGCCAAAGACUGACGCUCAUGUGCGAAAGUGUGGGUAGCGAACAGGAUUAGAUACCCUGGUAGUCCACACCGUAAACGCUGUCUACUAGCUGUGUGUGUCUUUAAGACGUGCGUAGCGAAGCUAACGCGCUAAGUAGACCGCCUGGGGAGUACGGCCGCAAGGUUAAAACUCAAAUGAAUUGACGG
This 891-nucleotide ribosomal RNA is filed under the name uncultured Gammaproteobacteria bacterium. RNAcentral describes it as "bacterial SSU rRNA". It matches the Rfam family "Bacterial small subunit ribosomal RNA", at positions 28 to 916 of the family's 1533-position model. The record is from RNAcentral. Lineage: Bacteria; Pseudomonadati; Pseudomonadota; Gammaproteobacteria.